AAUGCCUUUUGCUCUGGCACUUUCACUUCCAUAUAGGUUGGAUUUUUCAUAGAAAAUCACCUAUCAACACUGAGUAGGCGAUUCCCACAGUCGAGUCGCCGACUCCCAUACUGAGUAGGUGAUUCCCACAGUUGAAUUGUCGAUUCGGUCAUCGUCUUCAUUCAUCGCUUCGGCUGAAUAAGACCACACUGAGUAGGCGAUUCCCACAGUUGAGUCGCCGACUCCCACACUGAAUAGGCGAUUCCCAUAGUUGAAUCGUCGAUUCGGUCAUUCGAUCAUCGUCUUCAUUCAUCGCUUCGGCUGAAUAAGACCACGCAUAGCCCAGCUCUUUUACCGAAACGAAAAUCCAUCGCCACGGUUGGAUUUACCUCGUCGUUUCGGUAAAAAAAA
RNAcentral lists this long non-coding RNA (390 nucleotides) under Zostera marina. RNAcentral describes it as "long non-coding RNA (ZMAR_LNC005260)". The record is from RNAcentral. Lineage: Eukaryota; Viridiplantae; Streptophyta; Magnoliopsida; Alismatales; Zosteraceae.